GACGAACGCUGGCGGCGUGCCUAAUACAUGCAAGUAGGACGCACAGUUUAUACCGUAGCUUGCUACACCAUAGACUGUGAGUUGCGAACGGGUGAGUAACGCGUAGGUAACCUGCCUAUUAGAGGGGGAUAACUAUUGGAAACGAUAGCUAAUACCGCAUAACAGUAUGUAACACAUGUUAGAUGCUUGAAAGAUGCAAUUGCAUCGCUAGUAGAUGGACCUGCGUUGUAUUAGCUAGUAGGUAGGGUAAUGGCCUACCUAGGCGACGAUACAUAGCCGACCUGAGAGGGUGAUCGGCCACACUGGGACUGAGACACGGCCCAGACUCCUACGGGAGGCAGCAGUAGGGAAUCUUCGGCAAUGGGGGGAACCCUGACCGAGCAACGCCGCGUGAGUGAAGAAGGUUUUCGGAUCGUAAAGCUCUGUUGUUAAGGAAGAACGAGUGUGAAAAUGGAAAGUUCAUACUGUGACGGUACUUAACCAGAAAGGGACGGCUAACUACGUGCCAGCAGCCGCGGUAAUACGUAGGUCCCGAGCGUUGUCCGGAUUUAUUGGGCGUAAAGCGAGCGCAGGCGGUUAGAAAAGUCUGAAGUGAAAGGCAGUGGCUCAACCAUUGUAGGCUUUGGAAACUGUUUAACUUGAGUGCAGAAGGGGAGAGUGGAAUUCCAUGUGUAGCGGUGAAAUGCGUAGGUAUAUGGAGGAACACCGGUGGCGAAAGCGGCUCUCUGGUCUGUAACUGACGCUGAGGCUCGAAAGCGUGGGGAGCGAACAGG
Molecule: ribosomal RNA, 773 nt
Filed under: Streptococcus anginosus
Lineage: Bacteria; Bacillati; Bacillota; Bacilli; Lactobacillales; Streptococcaceae
Description: bacterial SSU rRNA
Rfam family: Bacterial small subunit ribosomal RNA
Source: RNAcentral